This 71-nucleotide transfer RNA is filed under the name Ovis aries (sheep). It matches the Rfam family "tRNA". Rfam says of the family: Transfer RNA (tRNA) molecules are approximately 80 nucleotides in length. The record is from Rfam by way of RNAcentral. Lineage: Eukaryota; Metazoa; Chordata; Mammalia; Artiodactyla; Bovidae.
UCCCAGGUAGCUCAGUGGUAAAGAACCUGCCUGCAGUGCAGGAGACCCAGGUUCAAUCCCUGGGCCAGGAA